This 541-nucleotide ribosomal RNA is filed under the name Arthrobacter sp. B302_2. RNAcentral describes it as "bacterial SSU rRNA". It matches the Rfam family "Bacterial small subunit ribosomal RNA", at positions 145 to 698 of the family's 1533-position model. The record is from RNAcentral. Lineage: Bacteria; Bacillati; Actinomycetota; Actinomycetes; Micrococcales; Micrococcaceae.
AAGCCUGGGAAACUGGGUCUAAUACCGGAUAUGACUCCUCAUCGCAUGGUGGGGGGUGGAAAGCUUUAUUGUGGUUUUGGAUGGACUCGCGGCCUAUCAGCUUGUUGGUGAGGUAAUGGCUCACCAAGGCGACGACGGGUAGCCGGCCUGAGAGGGUGACCGGCCACACUGGGACUGAGACACGGCCCAGACUCCUACGGGAGGCAGCAGUGGGGAAUAUUGCACAAUGGGCGAAAGCCUGAUGCAGCGACGCCGCGUGAGGGAUGACGGCCUUCGGGUUGUAAACCUCUUUCAGUAGGGAAGAAGCGAAAGUGACGGUACCUGCAGAAGAAGCGCCGGCUAACUACGUGCCAGCAGCCGCGGUAAUACGUAGGGCGCAAGCGUUAUCCGGAAUUAUUGGGCGUAAAGAGCUCGUAGGCGGUUUGUCGCGUCUGCCGUGAAAGUCCGGGGCUCAACUCCGGAUCUGCGGUGGGUACGGGCAGACUAGAGUGAUGUAGGGGAGACUGGAAUUCCUGGUGUAGCGGUGAAAUGCGCAGAUAUC